Long non-coding RNA from Myxocyprinus asiaticus (Chinese sucker), 549 nucleotides. RefSeq lists it as uncharacterized. The transcript is spliced from 3 exons. Lineage: Eukaryota; Metazoa; Chordata; Actinopteri; Cypriniformes; Catostomidae. The record is from RefSeq and is a predicted model, not a curated record.
UGUUUAAUAAUACAAGCUUUGUUCUGCACUUAAUAUUAAAUGGCAUCACAUGCGACUAACUCACAUGUUAAAAAUGUGGUAUGCUGUUUGCACAGCCACACUGCUAUUCUGCAACAAUGCUUCUUGUUAAAGUAACAUCGAUACUGGUGGAUAAAUAACUGGAUGUGUGGAAAUGUCCAAGAGCAGUUCCAGAUGUGUUGGGAGGGGAGAUCUUACGCUUGAGCCUCUGUGAUUCCAGCAGGUCCCGCCCUGAAGAUUUGGAUUUCCCACCAUUAAGCCAUCUGGAUUCCCAUUUUUGCUUCCAAAGCAUCCACAGAAUGAAUUGACAAUGGUCAAUUGACAGUGUUGGCUGGAUGUCGCUGUUGAACUUUUUGACUGAAGGAAAAUGACUCGGUUUCUCCAAUGUUCCAAAACAGAGAUGGUUGAUGUGACCUUCCAACUGGAAUCCAGUGGCUUCAGACUUUAUUUUAGUGUACUUACAAACACUAUUGUACACUCAAAAUACUUAUUUAUAUUAAUCUUUUUGUCUAAAGAAACUGAGUGCAACAG